RNA transcript from Oryza brachyantha (malo sina), 6337 nucleotides. RefSeq lists it as uncharacterized. The record is from RefSeq and is a predicted model, not a curated record. The transcript has 21 exons. NCBI's taxonomy places the organism in Eukaryota, Viridiplantae, Streptophyta, Magnoliopsida, Poales, Poaceae.
CAUGUCGACGUCGUCACCGGCGACGCCGCCGUCCCAGCCGCCGCCGCAGCCGCCGCAGGAGCUCGACCUAGACGCCUUCCUCCCCUCGUCCCCCGCCUCCUCCGCAGCCUCGGAAUCUGAUGGAGACGGAGACGAUCACCGGCGCGCCGUCGACGACCUCCUCCUCCUCCUCUCGUCGUCCGACUCCGACACCGACGAGCCACCCGCUAGACCAAUCACCAGCAGCACCCAGCUCAAAACCCUAGCCAGCAUCCGAGCCCCGGCUCCGCCCCCUAAACCUUCGCUCUCGCCUUCCCCAUCCGCCUCACCUAGGAGAUCCACAUCCGCCUCGCCGUCGGCGACACUGACCUCCCUCGUGUCGAGAACCUUCUCGAACAACGCCGCUUCGUCUUCCUCGUCGAAGCCACUCCCUUCGCUCUUCCGGGGCGUCCGUCCCAGCCCCAAGCCUGGCGCCGCUCUCGCCGCAGCUGCCGCCGCGUCCCGCGCCGUCCUCACCCCCCAUGCGGCUGCCAUUAAGUCCCGGCGUUCCGCCUCUGCGCCCAUCGAGAGGCUUCUAGACGAAGGCUCCGGCUCCGGCUCCGAAGCCUCCGAGGAGCUCCCUUCCUCUGGAAAUUCGGAGGCGGGAGUAGCGGAGAAGGCUAAUGCGGAUGUGACCGAGGAAGCUGCCAGUGGGAUUGGUGAUGAAGAAUUGGAAGCGGAGAAGCAUGGAGAAGAAGUGCGGUUCGAGGAGAAAUCUGAGCCCAUUGAGUCGGUGGAAGAAGUUGCUGCGGCUUCUGCUGUUGGUGAGAAUAUCAGCGAGCAUGAGCAACUUGGAGCAAGUUCGGCACAAACUGAUCAACCUGUGGAUCAAAUUGGUCUCGCUGAUGAGGAAUGUGUCAAUGACCAAAUUGCUGAUGAAAAUUUCACAGAAUUUGGUGGUGCUGGGGAUCAAGCUGGGGCUAUCUGCAAGAAAAAUGUUGAUGAUGAUCUGGAAUUUGAAAGAUCCGAAACGUCCGUGGAAGAGCAAUUGGAAUCUGAGAGCAUUAUUGAUAAGGUAAUUGAAGAGAGGUUGGAGAUUAGCAGGAAAGCUGAGCAGACAGCGGAGAAAAAGCCUAAGGUGUCGAUGAAACCAUUGGAGCAGGCGGAGGAGCUUGAGAAGAGGCAGGCUUCUUUUGGGCAGCACUGGGAGGAAGGAGCAGCAGCACAACCCAUGCAUCUGGAGGGGAUUGGAAGGGGCCAACCAGCUAUUGGUUACAUGCAGAUUGAGGUUGACAACCCUAUAACUCGUGCCAUGUCCUCCUCGUCAUUUGGGCAGGACCAUGGUUCUCCCCAGGUGCUGACAGUUCAUAAGAGCUAUAUAGCGCUGGGCAUGUCUAAAGGAUCUGUCAUUGUUAUACCAAGCAAAUAUUCCAUCCACCAAGCUGAUGAUACAGAUGCAAAGAUGCUGUUCUUUUGGAACCAAGGUGAGAAAACUCAAUCACCGGUGACUGCCAUGUGCUUCAACCAGCAAGGCGAUCUUCUUCUAGUAGGAUAUGGUGAUGGUCAUAUGACAAUCUGGGAUGUACAGAAAGGUACAGCUGCAAAAGUCAUAUAUGGUGAGCACACGGCACCUGUAGUGCAUGCUUGCUUUAUCCGCCAAUCUAAAGCCAUUACUGGUGAUUCAAAAGGGCUAGUGCUGUUGCACACAUUUUCCAUUAUCCCAGUAAUUAAUCGCUUGACCAUUAAGGGAACCCAGCGCCUUUUUGAUGGAAAUACCGGAAUUGUGCUCUCAGCCUGUCCUCUUCUAGUGGAUGAAUCAUUUGGUUCUAGCAACUCAUCCACCCAGGGAAACCUGACAACUUCUUCCGGUGGUCUUAGCAGCAUGAUGGGAGGUGUUGUUGGAGGUGUAGUUGGAGUUGAUUCUGGAUGGAAGUUUUUCAAUGAAGGUUCUUCUCCAGUGGAGGAUGGUGUAGUGGUGAUGUUUAUUAUGCACCAACAUGCUCUUGUGGUUAGGCUCCGUACCAAUAUUGAUCAUGUUGACCAUAUUGAAACCUUCUCUAGACCAGAUGGAGCACGAGAGGGCUCUAUUGCAUAUGCUGCAUGGAAAUACACUACAUUCUCGAGUGAUUCACUGUCCAUAGAUGACGAACAAGUAUCAUGGCUUGCACUUGCAUGGGAUCGUCAAGUUCAAGUGGCAAAGUAUAUUAAAUCAAAGAUGAUUAAACAUAAAGAAUGGAAGAUUGACAGUGCAGCGAUUGGUGUUGCCUGGUUAGAUGAUCAGAUGUUGGUUGUCCUUAAUUUGAGAGGGCAGCUCUGUUUGUUUUCCAAAGAUGGCAAUGAACUUCGCAGGACUGUAUUUGUUCUUGAUGGUUUUGUCUUCGAUGACAGCAUACUAUACCAUACACAUUUCUCUAACAGGUUUGGUAACCCAGAGAGGCAUUUUAACAAUUCAGUAGCAGUAAGAGGUGCUACAGUGUAUAUUCUUGGGCCAAAUUUCCUCACAGUUUCCCGACUUCUUCCAUGGAAAGAGAGGAUUGAAGCACUAAAGAGAGCUGGCGAUUGGAUGGGUGCACUGGACAUGGCAAUGAAACUUUAUGAUGGCCAGACCCAGGGUGUCGUUGAUCUCCCGAGAACAGUUGAUUCUAUACGAGAAGCCAUAAUGCCAUAUUUAGUAGAGUUGCUGCUAUCAUAUAUACAUUAUGUAUUUGAAUACAUUUCAAUUGCUUUGUCAAGCCAUAGUGGAAAAGGGGGUGCAUCAGAUGGCCUGGUAGAUGCCGAUAGAUCCCUGCUGACACAGAGAGAGGAACAGUAUGCACGUGUAGGAGGGGUUGCAGUUGAGUAUUGUGUUCAUAUUGGACGAAAUGACAUCCUUUUUGACACAGUCUUUUCUAAGUUUGUUGCUGCAAAAAGUGGAGGUAUGUUUCUGGAGGUGCUAGAGCCCUAUAUAUUGAAGGAUAUGCUUGGCUCUUUGCCGCCUGAGAUUAUGCAAGCACUCGUAGAGCAUUAUAGUAGCAAAGGGUGGUUGCAACGAGUUGAACAAUGCAUUCUUCAUAUGGAUAUUUCUUCAUUGGAUUUUAAUCAGGUAGUCAGACUAUGUCGUGAACACGGAUUAUAUGGUGCAUUAAUUUAUUUGUUUAACCAAGGUCUUAAAGAUUUCCGCACGCCUCUAGAGGAGCUUUUAUCUGUCAUUCAGAACACUAGUAGAAAAGAAGGUGCUUCUACUUGCUACAGGAUGCUUGUUUACCUGAAGUAUUGCUUUCAGGGCCUAGCAUUUCCUCCAGGGCAUGGGAUGAUUCCCCAAUCCCGCCUUCAUGCAGUACGAGAAGAACUUUUGCAAUUUUUGCUUGAGGAGUCGAAGACUUUCAGUACUGAAGUAUACAAGGGCUUCCAAUCCUCAUGCGGAAAAUGCCCAAACAUAUGCUAUCUACUAUGGAUGGAUACUGAAGCUGCUUUGGAGGUUCUCAAAUGUGCCUUUGCACAUGAAAGAUUUGAAACUAGAGAUAACCCAUCUAGUACUCCUGAUGCACGUGUCUCAGAGGAUGGAAACAAUAGUAAUAUUGGAAGUCCUGAGAAUGAAAAUAUUAUGUUACAGAAUGUAGUGGACACCAUUGUGGAUAUUGUUGGUUUGGAAAAUGAGGCUAUUCACUCAGUUUCUGGAUCUGUUGAGUCAGAAAUUUGGCCUUCAGAAGACUUUGGUCAUCUUAUCGAGUUUGUGUCUUCUUUUGUUUCCCACAAAAGGGCAAAAGCAUCUCAAAGAGUUGUUAGGCACAUUCUCAGAUAUCUUACUUCAUCCACUAUCCUCUCAUCUGAUGACAAGAAAACAUCAACUCAUCAGAAAGAAAAGGAAGUUCUUCAGCUCUUCGAUGCAGUUCCUCAAAUUGAUUGGAAUUCCGAUUAUGUGUUGCAUAUUUGCUUAGACGCUCACUUUCACCAGGCCUGUGGAUUGAUAUAUAUGACCAGAAAGCAAAAUUUGGCUGCUUUAGAAAGUUACAUGAAGGAUACACUAGAACCAUUCCAUGCUUUUAUCUUCAUUAACAAAAAACUAUCCGAAUUGGCAGAUGACGAAGCUUCAUCAUUUCGUUCCUCAGUAAUAUCUCAUUUUCCUGAGCUUGUCAAGCUAAGCAGGGAGUGUGCAUUUGUCUUAGUCAAUGAUCACUUCCACGAUGAGAUCCAGCAAAUAUUGUCCAAGCUUCAUUCUGAUCACCACAGCCUCUUUCUUUUUUUGAAAACUGCAAUUGAAGUGCACUUGUCGGGAAAACUGAAUUUCAGUGAGCUUAGUACCAGAAACAAUAGCACGGUGGAACUUCAAUACUCAUCUCGUGAACUUGAAUUUUAUAUACAAAGACUUUUAAAUCUUCCCAAGUUGUUGGACCGCAAUCCUGUUAUUGUGACUGAUGAGUUGGUUGAACUCUAUCUGGAGCUCUUGUGUCAGUAUGAGCGAAGGUCAGUUUUGAAGUUUCUGGAGACAUUUGACAGUUACAAAUUGGAGCGGUGUUUGCAUCUUUGUUUAGAUUAUGGAGUUACAGAUGCUGCUGCAUUCUUGCAAGAGAGAGUUGGUGAUGUUGGGAGUGCACUGGUACUUAUUCUAGCAGGUCUUGAUGAGAAAAUCAGCCUAUUUAUAUCUUCAGUGGAAAAUGCUUUCUCUUGGAUUGCAUCAAAGAGUAUAUCUGAGAUAGAGCAACCAGACGUUGUUUUAAAACUGAGUGAGGCUCAUCCAGUGCUUGAUGCAUUACGUGCUGCCAUCGGAUUGUGUCAAAGGAAUUCACAACGCUUAAACCCAGAGGAGUCCCAGUCACUUUGGUUCCAACUGCUUGACUCCUUCUCAGAGCCCCUGAAAAAAUUGUACGGAAGCAAGGAUGUACAUGAAAAAGGUGUGAGGCCCAAUGGGAGUGAAACGUUGAAUAGACAGCCAAAGGACAAAGGAUUCUCACAAAAAACAAGGAUUUCGGUUUACCAAAGGUGCUUGAAUGCACUGCGGAGAGUAUUUUCACAGUUUGUUGGAGAAAUAAUUGAGGCAAUGGCUGGACAUAUACCCCUACCAGCAAUCAUGGGAAAGCUAUUAUCUGACAAUGGGAGUCAAGAGUUUGGUGAUUUUAAGCUUGUUAUACAUAGAAUGCUGUCCAUGUAUCUUUACGAAAAAAGAAUACUGGAAACUGCCAAGUCAGUAAUUGAGGAUGAUUCAUUCUAUACCUUGAGCUUACUAAAGAGAGGGGUUUGUCAUGGAUUUGCGCCGCAGACUUUUGUAUGUUGCAUAUGCAACUGCUCUCUUUCGAAAGAAAGUGCUAUUUCAGCGAUACGAGUAUUCAGUUGUGGACAUGCAACUCAUAUCCAAUGUGAGUCCGAACAAAGCAAGUCAUCGAACAGGGAUUCCAAAAAUGGAUGCCCAAUUUGUCUUUCAACUAGUAAUACACAAGCUUUGAACAAAUCACCUAUAUAUGAGAAUGGGCUAGGGAAACAUUUUGGGUCUGAAAGCGAGGUAUUGCAUGGCACCUAUCAUACCCAUGAAACAGACCAUGUCGAGAGAUCUCGUGGGCUUCAGCAGAUGUCACGGUAUGAAAUACUGAAUCAUCUUCAGAGGCCACAGAACUCUUUGCAUGUAGAAACUGUAUCUCCACUGAAACUUUCACCACCAGCAAUAUAUCAUGAAAAGAUACAGAAGAGAACAACCACGGUGGGAGAAUCCAGCAAGCAUCCAGUUAGAACUGAAAAACCCCAGAUAAUAUGGCAAAUGAAGAAUCCAAUAUCAAGAAAAUCAGGGAACCGACUUCUGCCAAAGUCAAGCAUAUUGAGUUCUCAGAAUAAUCAAUUACGAUAGUGUAAAUAUUACUAUAAAUUUGACAAUUUUUACAAUGGUAAGUGAUUCGAGCUGAUAACUGAUUUGCUUUACGCCAUCAUGGUUGUUGAAGCUUCAACUUAUCAUUGAUUUGCCAAAUGUGGUCGUGCUGCUCCUCGGUACUCGAUUCUCAUCGUGGUGAUACAUUAAAACUGUUUUGAGUAGGGCAAUUCUUCUCUCACGCUAGGGAGACGAAUUGCAAAUCCCAAGGCUAGGCGGGAGCAAAAAACCCUGAAAGGCUGUAACUUUAGAACACAAGAUGUGAUAGUAAAUUUUUGUGGGGGCAGUUCAUCGUAAUAGAAAUUUGUACAGAGACGAACACAUGAUGACGCCAUCCGCACUUCUUUUCCUUUUUGUAAACUGUGAGGUACACAGGAGCGCUGGCAUGUAUAGCAAAUGAGAUACUAAAAAUCAGUUAGUUACAUGAUUUUUGAUCAACCGGUGUUGCUGCAAAAUACAACCACCAUUUCAUACUAAAGUCAUUUUGGGUUUGUAAUAAGUUAAACUUCAAGUUGGAUCAUUCUUUAUAGUACAUUUAUUUUGUGU